GAUGAAGAACGUAGCGAAAUGCGAUAAGUAAUGUGAAUUGCAGAAUUCAGUGAAUCAUCGAAUCUUUGAACGCACAUUGCGCCCGCCAGUAUUCUGGCGGGCAUGCCUGUCCGAGCGUCAUUUCAACCCUCGAACCCCUCCGGGGGGUCGGCGUUGGGGAUCGGCCCUUUCACCGGGUGCCGGCCCCUAAAUACAGUGGCGGUCUCGCCGCAGCCUCUCAUGCGCAGUAGUUUGCACACUCGCACCGGGAGCGCGGCGCGUCCUCGUCCGUAAAACACCCCAAACUUCUGAAAUGUUGACCUCGGAUCAGGUAGGAAUACCCGCUGAACUUAAGAAUAUCAAUAAGCGGAGGA
RNAcentral lists this unclassified non-coding RNA (353 nucleotides) under soil metagenome. Its description in RNAcentral is "partial contains 5.8S ribosomal RNA, internal transcribed spacer 2, and large subunit ribosomal RNA". The stretch from base 1 to 120 matches the Rfam family "5.8S ribosomal RNA", at positions 35 to 154 of the family's 154-position model. The record is from RNAcentral.